This 498-nucleotide ribosomal RNA is filed under the name uncultured bacterium. Its description in RNAcentral is "partial 16S ribosomal RNA". It matches the Rfam family "Bacterial small subunit ribosomal RNA", at positions 29 to 523 of the family's 1533-position model. The record is from RNAcentral.
AUUGAACGCUGGCGGCAUGCCUUACACAUGCAAGUCCAACGGAUUUUGGGGCUUGCUCCAAAGUUAGUGGCGAACGGGUGAGUAAAGCAUCGCAACGUACCCAGUCGUGGGGGAGAACGUAGCGAAAGUUACGCUAAUACCGCAUACGAUCUGAGGAUGAAAGCGGGGGACCUUCGGGCCUCGCGCGAUUGGAGCGGCCGAAGUCGGCUUAGCUAGUUGGUGAGGUACAGGCCGACCAAGGCGACGAUCCGUAGCUGGUCUGAGAGGACGACCAGGCACACGGGGACUGAGACACGGCCCAGACUCCGACGGGGGGGAGCAGUGGGGAAUUUUGGUCAAUGGGAGGAAGCCGGGUCCAGCCAUGCCGCGUUGGUGAAGAGGGGCUUCGGGUUGUAAAGCUCUUUCAGACGGAAAGGACGCUCUCGGGUGAAUCUCCCGGGAGGAUGACGGUACCGUAAGAAGAAGCACCGGCUAACUACGUGCCAGCAGCCGCCGCGG